GAUGAACGCUGGCGGCGUGCUUAACACAUGCAAGUCGAGCGAGAAGUUUUGAAAAGAUUCUUCGGAUGAAAUUUAAAAUGGAAAGCGGCGGACGGGUGAGUAACGCGUAGGCAACCUGCCCCAUACAAAGGGAUAGCAUUUGGAAACGAAUAUUAAUACCUUAUGAAACUUAACUAGUGCAUGCUAGGUAGGUCAAAGAUUUAUCGGUAUGGGAUGGGCCCGCGUCUGAUUAGCUAGUUGGUGAGGUAACGGCUCACCAAGGCGACGAUCAGUAGCCGACCUGAGAGGGUGAACGGCCACAUUGGAACUGAGACACGGUCCAAACUCCUACGGGAGGCAGCAGUGGGGAAUAUUGCACAAUGGGGGAAACCCUGAUGCAGCAACGCCGCGUGAACGAUGAAGGCCUUUGGGUCGUAAAGUUCUGUUCUAGGUGAUGAAAACUGACAGUAACCUAGGAGAAAGCCCCGGCUAACUCCGUGCCAGCAGCCGCGGUAAUACGGAGGGGGCAAGCGUUAUCCGGAAUUAUUGGGCGUAAAGGGUACGUAGGUGGCCUUUUAAGCGUAGGGUAUAAGGCAAUGGCUCAACCAUUGUUCGCCCUAUGAACUGGAAGGCUUGAGUGCAGGAGAGGAAAGCGGAAUUCCUAGUGUAGCGGUGGAAUGCAUAGAUAUUAGGAGGAACAUCAGCGGCGAAGGCGGCUUUCUGGACUGCAACUGACACUGAGGUACGAAAGCGUGGGGAGCAAACAGG
Molecule: ribosomal RNA, 747 nt
Filed under: uncultured bacterium
Lineage: Bacteria
Description: bacterial SSU rRNA
Rfam family: Bacterial small subunit ribosomal RNA
Source: RNAcentral